AACGAACGCUGGCGGCAGGCCUAACACAUGCAAGUCGAACGAGACCUUCGGGUCUAGUGGCGCACGGGUGGGUAACGCGUGGUAACCUGCCCUUAAGUUCGCAAUAACUCCCCGAAAGGCGUGCUAAUACCGGAUAAUGUCUUCGGACCAAAGAUUGAUCGCCUUUGGAUGGGCCCGCGUUGUAUUAGCUAGUUGUUAGGGUAAAACGCUACCAAUGCGACGAUACAUAGCUGGUCAGAGAGGAUGAUCAGCCACACUGGUACUGAGACACGGUCCAGACUCUUAGGGGAGGACGCAGUGGGGAAUACUGCAAUAUGGCGGAAAGCAUGAUCCACCUAUGCCGCGUGAGUGAUGAAAGCCUUAGGGUUGUACAGUUAUUUUACCCGGGAUGAUAAUGACAUUACCGGGAGAAUAAGCUCCGGCUAACUCCGUG
Molecule: ribosomal RNA, 433 nt
Filed under: uncultured bacterium
Lineage: Bacteria
Description: partial 16S ribosomal RNA
Rfam family: Bacterial small subunit ribosomal RNA
Source: RNAcentral